AUGGAGAAAAAAAGGUGGAACCACAAGAUAGAACCUUCACAAACCUCCUCACUUCUCACUGUCAACCACACCGAGCUCUGCAUCGAUGGCAUUGUGUGCGGUCUCGAGGUCUUCAUCAAGGAAAAUGUCCCAGUGCCCAUCCCAGCGGAUGAAGAACUCUGUGUCCUCCAAGUACUUGACACGGUGCACGUCCCCAGCAGGCGUGAACAGGAAGUCCCCAUCGACCAGGCCAUAGCUCUCCUUCUUGGUCAAGUUCCACACCUUCUUCUUGCCCUUGAUCACCACCAGGUCGUGGCCGAAGGUGUGGUGGUGGGCCGGCUCCACGCUUCCAGCUUUGAACCGCACGUAGGCCGAAGUCGGGCUCUCGCGCACAAUCCGCAUCUCGCCGCCGGGCAUGAUGUCCACCGGCUCGAACUCCAUCCCCUUCCUCAGGUAGCAGAUGGCGCAGGCGGAGUCCGGCGCAGGAGGGGCUGCCGGUCCCUCGGGGAUGGAGGCCAUCUCACCGGGGGCAGCAUCGAAGAACUUCUGAAUGUCCUCCGGCCAAGGGGCGUCGCCGGACGCGGGGCAGGGGGCGCGGAAGGGGGUGGCGAGCCAGGCGUCGGCGAUGGCGGCGGCGGCCUCGGGCGGGGUGGCCAUGCCGGAGAGGGCGAGGACGUUGCAGGCGUUGAUGGAGCGGGUGUUGACGGCGUCGGCGGCGGAGCCGCAGUGCGUGGCGUACACGCCGGGGUACUUGUUGGCGAAGAUGGCGACACCGGCGCCGGUGCCGCAGACGACGACGCCGCGGGCCUCGAGCGCUGGGUCAGGGGCCGAGGAGGAGACGCCGCGAGCGACGGCCGCGGCGGCGGAGUAGUACUUGUCGACGCCGAGGUCGACGACGUCGGCGACGGAGGAGUGGGCGCGGAGGUGCGCGACGACGGCGUCCUUGAGCGGCUCGCCGAAGCCGUCGGCGGCCGCGAAGAUCUUGAAGCGGCGGCUGCCGGCGGAGGCGGAGGCGGCCAUCGGCGAUAG
This 1008-nucleotide ribosomal RNA is filed under the name Triticum aestivum (bread wheat). RNAcentral describes it as "partial small subunit ribosomal RNA". Lineage: Eukaryota; Viridiplantae; Streptophyta; Magnoliopsida; Poales; Poaceae. The record is from RNAcentral.